RNAcentral lists this ribosomal RNA (414 nucleotides) under Teunomyces kruisii. RNAcentral describes it as "eukaryotic LSU rRNA". The stretch from base 111 to 264 matches the Rfam family "5.8S ribosomal RNA". The record is from RNAcentral. Lineage: Eukaryota; Fungi; Ascomycota; Pichiomycetes; Serinales; Debaryomycetaceae.
CAAGGUUUCCGUAGGUGAACCUGCGGAAGGAUCAUUAAAGAAUAAUUACCACACAUGUUUUUAUAUCAUAAACACCAAACCAUUAAUUACCUCAACUUUUGAAAAAUCAAAACUUUCAACAACGGAUCUCUUGGUUCUCGCAUCGAUGAAGAACGCAGCGAAAUGCGAUACGUAAUAUGAAUUGCAGAUUUUCGUGAAUCAUCGAAUCUUUGAACGCACAUUGCGCCCUGUGGUAUUCCGCAGGGCAUGCCUGUUUGAGCGUCAUUUCUCUCUCAAGCCGCUGGCUUGGUGUUGAGUUUGCUCGGCUUACUUGAAAUACAUGUAUGCAUUUGUCUAGGAUCUCCAUCUCAAACGCAUUACUCCAAGUUUGACCUCAAAUCAGGUAGGACUACCCGCUGAACUUAAGCAUAUCAA